CCUACGGGGGGCUGCAGUGGGGAAUUUUAGAUAAUGGAGGGAACUCUGAUCUAGCGACGCCGCGUGCAGGAAGAAGGUCUUCGGAUUGUAAACUGCUGUGGUAAGGGAAAAAUGCUAUGUAGAGUGGAAAGCUACAUAGAGGGAUGGUACCUUACUAGAAAGCCCCGGCUAACUACGUGCCAGCAGCCGCGGUAAUACGUAGGGGGCGAGCGUUACCCGGAAUCACUGGGCGUAAAGGGAGCGUAGGUGGCCUAACAUGUCAACUGUGAAAACCCGGAGCUCAACUCCGGACUUGCAGUUGAAACUGGUAGGCUUGAGGACGGUAGAGGAAGACGGAACUGCCAGUGUAGGGGUAAAAUCCUUAGAUAUUGGCAGGAACGCCGGUGACGAAGGUGGUUUUCUGGGCCGGUUCUGACACUGAUGCUCGAAAGCCAGGGGAGCGAACGGGAUUAGAUACCCCAGUAGUC
This 467-nucleotide ribosomal RNA is filed under the name uncultured Thermotogaceae bacterium. RNAcentral's name for it is "bacterial SSU rRNA". It matches the Rfam family "Bacterial small subunit ribosomal RNA", at positions 338 to 795 of the family's 1533-position model. The record is from RNAcentral. Lineage: Bacteria; Thermotogati; Thermotogota; Thermotogae; Thermotogales; Thermotogaceae.